This 874-nucleotide ribosomal RNA is filed under the name uncultured bacterium. RNAcentral describes it as "bacterial SSU rRNA". It matches the Rfam family "Bacterial small subunit ribosomal RNA", at positions 93 to 1002 of the family's 1533-position model. The record is from RNAcentral.
GAGUGGCGGACGGGUGAGUAAGGACUGGGAAACUGCCCGAUAGAGGGGGACAACAGUUGGAAACGACUGCUAAUACCGCAUGAACCCUGAGGGGGAAAGAAGAAAUUCGCUAUCGGAUGUGCCCAGUUGGGAUUAGCUAGUAGGGGUGGUAAAGGCACACCUAGGCGAUGAUCUCUAGCUGGUCUGAGAGGAUGAUCAGCCACAUUGGGACUGAGACACGGACCAGACUCCUACGGGAGGCAGCAGUAGGGAAUAUUGCACAAUGGAGGAAACUCUGAUGCAGCCAUGCCGCGUGUGUGAAGAAGGCCUUCGGGUUGUAAAGCACUUUCGGAGGGGAGGAGAAAGGACGUUACCCUCAGAAGAAGCACCGGCUAACUCCGUGCCAGCAGCCGCGGUAAUACGGAGGGUGCGAGCGUUAAUCGGAAUAACUGGGCGUAAAGGGCAUGCAGGCGGUUGGACAAGUAAGGUGUGAAAUACCGGGGCUUAACUUCGGGGCUGCACUUUAAACUAUCCGGCUAGAGUAUUGCAGAGGGAGACGGAAUUCCAGGUGUAGCGGUGGAAUGCGUAGAUAUCUGGAAGAACACCGGAGGCGAAGGCGGUCUCCUGGGCAAAUACUGACGCUCAGAUGCGAAAGCGUGGGGAGCAAACAGGAUUAGAUACCCUGGUAGUCCACGCUGUAAACGAUGUCGAUUAGAAGUUCGAGCAAAAGCUUGGGUUUCGUAGCAAACGCGCUAAAUCGACCGCCUGGGGAGUACGGCCGCAAGGUUAAAACUCAAAUGAAUUGACGGGGGCCCGCACAAGCGGUGGAGCAUGUGGUUUAAUUCGACGCAACGCGAAGAACCUUACCUGAUCUUGACAUCCGCGGGAAUUGGUC